This is a long non-coding RNA of Bombina bombina (fire-bellied toad), 399 nucleotides long. RefSeq lists it as uncharacterized. The record is from RefSeq and is a predicted model, not a curated record. The transcript is spliced from 3 exons. Lineage: Eukaryota; Metazoa; Chordata; Amphibia; Anura; Bombinatoridae.
CUUUUUUAUUCAACAUAGAUCCAGGCCCUCAUACAGACACUGAAAAGGUGAAUGUCUCGGAGAAUAGGCUAAGAAAGUGAAACUGACAGCCAAGCCUACAUUUAAUUGGGGGUAGUGUCCCAUCAUUGUUCUGAGCUGCAGAACCUUUUCUAACCUCCAAGGCAGAACGCGGUAGCAGAGGAGCAAUCAUCAGAUAAUGUAAUACACAGUUCCCAGGAGGAUACAGCUGAGGUGCAUUCUCUCUCGGAUGAAUGGAUUUUAAGAGCUCCAUAUUUUUCCUCCCAAGAGAAUGACUCAUUCAGCAAGGCAGAAAACUUUGCCUUCUAUUGUCUCCAAGGAUUUUAUUUCACGAGGAUCUUUCUGCAGCUCGUGCCUCAAACAAUUUGUAAAUAUAAUAAU